Long non-coding RNA from Vicia villosa (hairy vetch), 686 nucleotides. RefSeq lists it as uncharacterized. NCBI's taxonomy places the organism in Eukaryota, Viridiplantae, Streptophyta, Magnoliopsida, Fabales, Fabaceae. The record is from RefSeq and is a predicted model, not a curated record. The transcript is spliced from 3 exons.
UUCAUGCAUCAAACCUUCUUCAUCAUUCAAACUUAGAACACUCGCCUUCUUUAUCAUUUCAACUCAUAGCCCUCUUUUCCCCGUCAAAUUCAGCCCCAAUUUUGAAACUCAAAAUCCCUAAAACCAAAAUGAACUGUACCCAUAAAUCAAAUAUCCUAAAAUCAAUUCAAUCUACGUUCCAAAAUCUUUUGAUUAGUUUCUAGAAAUAUUUACAAAGGUUCUUGUAUCUCUCUGUCUUGCCGUUACUGUAUUCGAUCUCGCCUUACUCUGUAGCCGUAUUUUGUCAUGCUGCCCUCCAUAGUAGUUGUCCUUGUCCAUUUGCAUUAUUGUUGGUUGAGCUUCGUCAUUUUGUUCUUACAAGAAAUCCCAUAAACCAUCUAAUCUCGCUCUUGUCUAGCUCUUUUGUUGCAAUACUCGAACACUACAACCCUUUUGUUGCAAUACUCAAUCACUACAACUCUGACACAAAGAAUAUGAUAAGAAAUUAACUUUACCAACAGAUGCAGAUGAUGACCAGCCCUCUCAUCCUGUUGAAGCUGAAAUAAAAUGAUCUCAUCAAGUUAAUUCUCUAUGGUUUGAGGCUUGAGAAGCUUUCGAAAGAUCCAAGUAAAGGAAAUGCAUGGCAUUCUGGUCACAUCGCUUUUGGAAGAUAUCAAUUUUUAAUUGUAGUAACCUGUAAGUCUCAU